Long non-coding RNA from Coffea arabica (coffee), 586 nucleotides. RefSeq lists it as uncharacterized. The record is from RefSeq and is a predicted model, not a curated record. Lineage: Eukaryota; Viridiplantae; Streptophyta; Magnoliopsida; Gentianales; Rubiaceae.
GGGAAAAAAAAAAAAGAGAAGAGGUCUGGGGCUGAGGGGAAAAACAGAGCAAGGAGAGGAAAGAAAAAGGUGCGGCGGACGGCGGGUAAGAGGAGAGCAAAAGAAAAGGGGGGAACCUGGAAAUUGAGAGAGCUUCGGGCUGGGGGGAGGGAAUCAAACGAGAGAGAGAGCAAGAGAGGUAGACGAAGGAAAAAGGAAAACAGAGGAAACGAGGAAUUUUGGGCAAGAAGGAAAGGAAAAAGAAGAAAAGCUGGGCGGAGGAAUUGCAGUUUGCUGUCGGCUCCGGAACUUCACCGAGAGAGAGUAGUAUUUGGACUCCAAACCCGGAGUACCACCUCGACGCGAGCAUUAGAAGCACUAUUGUGGGGUACGAGUGAAGCGUGAGAAGUGUAAAGGCUAGCGUAGUCUAGUUACGUUAAACUUUGUUUUGAAUUUUGGUUUUGUACUCGCGCUAUUCCUCGAAUGAAAUAUUUUGUACUUGGAUUGUAUAUAUUUUGAAUUAGUUUAAGUAUAUCGAGACUUUGUACCUUGCUUUCUAUCAAUGUAAAUUAUAAGCUUGAAUUGCGGAUAUUAUUAAUGGUUCUUG